This 64-nucleotide transfer RNA is filed under the name Rhagio sp. KW-2016. RNAcentral describes it as "tRNA-Asn". The record is from RNAcentral. Lineage: Eukaryota; Metazoa; Arthropoda; Insecta; Diptera; Rhagionidae.
UUAAUUGAAGCCAAAAAGAGGCAUGUCAUUGUUAAUGAUAAAACUGAAUUAUAUUCCAAUUAAA